UGAGGAAUAUUGGUCAAUGGGCGGGGAGGCCUGAACCAGCCAAGUCGCGUGAAGGAAGAAGGCGCCAGGCGUCGUAAACUUCUUUUGUCGGGGGAACAAAAGGGCGCCACGCGUGGCGUUGUGAGUGUACCCGAAGAAAAAGCAUCGGCUAACUCCGUGCC
RNAcentral lists this ribosomal RNA (161 nucleotides) under uncultured bacterium. RNAcentral describes it as "partial 16S ribosomal RNA". It matches the Rfam family "Bacterial small subunit ribosomal RNA", at positions 355 to 509 of the family's 1533-position model. The record is from RNAcentral.